GGUGGUAUAUGGCAGCAAGGAUGAUGGUGGCGUGGUGGUGGUAUAUGGCAGCAAGGAUAAUGGUGGCGUGGUGGUGGUAUAUGAUGAAAUACGAUGCGGUGACGGCGUGACAAACUAUGAACAGAACUCGAAACUCUAAAGAACUAGACACUAAGACCAGCAACUCGACACGACGAUGUAACCGCAAAUUCAACUAAGCAAACUACUGAAAAGAUUAUGCAAAGGCUCAGAUUGGUUCGGAUAUGAAGAUCUAAGCCUAAUAUUUUUUUUUUGGCUGUUUCGUGGACGAUAGGUAUGAAGAACAGAUCCGAUCUAAAGAUGAAAAACUGGUAGAAUCUCACCGAGCAACCUGAAAAUCUGAUACCACUUGAUAGAGGCGAAGUUGUCCCUGUCUUUCGAUGAGAUCGUGGAUAUCGUUUAGAUGGAGUAGACUUUGACGAUCCGACUACGAACGUGUGAGG
This 461-nucleotide long non-coding RNA is filed under the name Hordeum vulgare. RNAcentral's name for it is "long non-coding RNA (HVUL_LNC004637)". The record is from RNAcentral. Lineage: Eukaryota; Viridiplantae; Streptophyta; Magnoliopsida; Poales; Poaceae.